UCGUACUGAUGUCCCUUUUGUUGGGGAAGCUGCAUUUCAUGUAUGCAGGUCCUGAUAGACAGCUGGAUAAACCUUUCCAGUAGACAAAGAUAAACAGCAGCUUGGUUGAUUCUGGAGCUGAGUAGCUGUGAAGACGAGGCUCUACACUGGAGACGUACCAGCGUACCAGAUUCAUGCUAACUUUUUGUUUAGUAUAGCUUAGGAUUUCAUUUCUGCUUAUGUAACUUUCAAACAGAUAUUAUAUUUAUUUCUCA
Nicotiana tabacum (common tobacco) is the source of this 254-nucleotide long non-coding RNA. RefSeq lists it as uncharacterized. The record is from RefSeq and is a predicted model, not a curated record. Lineage: Eukaryota; Viridiplantae; Streptophyta; Magnoliopsida; Solanales; Solanaceae.